RNAcentral lists this transfer RNA (85 nucleotides) under Dendrothele bispora CBS 962.96. Its description in RNAcentral is "Dendrothele bispora (strain CBS 962.96) tRNA". It matches the Rfam family "tRNA". From Rfam's summary of the family: Transfer RNA (tRNA) molecules are approximately 80 nucleotides in length. Lineage: Eukaryota; Fungi; Basidiomycota; Agaricomycetes; Agaricales. The record is from Rfam by way of RNAcentral.
GGGCGUUUAGCGCAGUGGUAGCGCGUAUGCUUUGCACAUUCGCAUCCUAUGUAUAAGGUCCAGGGUUCAAUCCCCUGAACGUCCA